RNAcentral lists this unclassified non-coding RNA (201 nucleotides) under uncultured fungus. Its description in RNAcentral is "sequence contains ITS1, 5.8S rRNA gene". The record is from RNAcentral. Lineage: Eukaryota; Fungi.
UUUCCGUAGGUGAGUAACAUCGAUAUCCCUCAUUCCUUCGAUUUCUCGUCUGUAUACUAACGUGUCCUUUUAGGUGAACCUGCGGAAGGAUCAUUAACAAGUCCUGCUGUGCGUGCGGAGCAGUCUGCAUGCGCACAUCCGUUCCAUGUGCCCCGCACAUGACAUUUCUGCGAGUCGUCUGAUUGUCGCUCUGAAUCAUAC